Molecule: long non-coding RNA, 471 nt
Organism: Suricata suricatta (meerkat)
Lineage: Eukaryota; Metazoa; Chordata; Mammalia; Carnivora; Herpestidae
Exons: 3
Source: RefSeq, a predicted model, not a curated record
GCGCCUAACUUCCCAUCUGGAGGAACACUGUACUCAUGACAGAGCUCAUAUAGGAAAUGUUUGGAACUUUUGGAAGCUGCUCAAUAAAUCCAGGCAAUGCCUACAGCAUGGCUCAGCAGAUGAAUGUUUGUGGGAAGCUGGCUGCUCCAGGAGCCGCAUGCAGUGCUGAGGUGUCCUUCCAAACAAGGGCCCCAACAGCUGAAGGGCUCCAGUUACCCAAGAGAUCCUGUUUGCCAAUUUUACAUGUCUCAGCCCACCUGGCAAAAGUUUUGCAUUUGUCCCUCAAUAUGGACCAUAAGGGCCUUUCUGUCCCAAGCAACUGUUUCCAACAAAUGGAUUCAGCAGGAGACUUUAAUUCAGAGCUUCAGUAACUCACAUGACAUUUUUUCAACUGUGAAGUUUUGCUUGAGCUGACAAAAAAAAAGCGAGAUCAUUUAACAAAUACCCGUGAGUCACCAUUGUGGUUUAAUA